GUGAUUUCAAAAUGGUUCCUAUACAGUUUUUACUUAAAUUCAAAUUGCUUUCAGUAAAGGGCCGGUUAUCUGCUUUAAAAUUUAUUAGCUUUUAAAAACUGUUAUCAUUAUCUAGCAUUGCUUCAAUUCGGGUCCAGGUAAUCUGUCAGUCCAUGAAGGUAUCGUCAGCGCUUAUAACUCAGUCCUUCAGUUAUGACAGGGUUUUAAACAUACCAUUUCUUAAUUUAUGUGUUGAUUUAUUUAGAAUGUUUAGAUGGAUAUCAAUAAAAAAAAAAUUCAGAUGGAUAUCAAUAAAAAAAAAGACUAUGCAGAUGGCUCUCAUAUAAAACUGAAUUACUGACAACUAAGGGGAUGAUAUCACCAGGAACUAAACAAUUUUGACUGAGGUGAUUGGAACAUUAAUCAUUCUUCAUUUAGCAACAUUUAUCACUGUAAGGCUUUCUGUUCAGCGUCAGACAGUGUUGCACAGUUCAAACACGAAGAAUUAAGUUUCGUUUUUAACAUAUCCCAGAUAGCAUUACUGGCAUCUCUCUGAACAUGG
RNAcentral lists this long non-coding RNA (541 nucleotides) under Mytilus galloprovincialis (Mediterranean mussel). The record is from RNAcentral. Lineage: Eukaryota; Metazoa; Mollusca; Bivalvia; Mytilida; Mytilidae.